AUGGUCAAGCUAAGAAGAGCGCAAGGGGAAUGCCUUGGCACUGAGAGCCGAAGAAGGACGCGACUAACUGCGAUAAGCCACGGGGAGCCGUAAGUAGGCAUUGAUCCGUGGAUUUCCGAAUGGAGCAAUCCGGCUGGAGUCAUGUCCAGUCACCGUAUUCUGAAUUCAUAGGGAUACGGGGGGAACCGCCUGAACUGAAACAUCUAAGUAGGGCGAGGAAAAGAAAUCAACCGAGAUUCCGCUAGUAGUGGCGAGCGAACGCGGAAGAGGCCAAACCAGAGGUAGCAAUACCUUUGGGGUUCGGACAGCGCACGGUAUGGAAGGUAUCUAGCAGAAUGGCAUGGGAAGGCCAACGAGACAGGGUGAAAGUCCCGUAUGUGAAAGAGAAGAUCCGCCAGCUGAAUCCAGAGUACCGCCGGACACGUGAAACCCGGUGGGAAGACGGGGGGACCAUCCUCCAAGCCUAAAUACUACUCAGUGACCGAUAGUGAAGAGUACUGUGAAGGAAAGGUGAAAAGCACCCCGGGAGGGGAGUGAAAGAGAACCUGAAACCUUGUGCUUACAAGCACCGAGAGCCCGUCAACGGGUGAUCGGGUACCUUUUGUAGAAUGGUCCGGCGAGUGAAUGUAACUGGCAAGGUUAAGACUUAAGGUCUGAAGCCGCAGCGAGAGCAAGUCUUAAUAGGGCGUAAGAAGUCAGUUGUAUUCGACCCGAAACCGGGUGACCUACCCAUGUCCAGGUUGAAGUGGAGGUAAAACUCCAUGGAGGACCGAACCGACUCCCGUUGAAAUGGUAGCGGAUGAGGUGUGGGUAGCGGAGAAAUUCCAAUCGAACCCGGAGAUAGCUGGUUCUCUCCGAAAUAGCUUUAGGGCUAGCCUCAUAUUAGAUUACUGGAGGUAAAGCACUGAAUGGGCUAGGGGCCGAGAGGUUACUGAACCCUAUCAAACUCAGAAUGCCAGAUAAUUGAUGUAUGGGAGUCAGACAGUGUGAGAUAAGUUUCAUUGUCAAAAGGGAAACAGCCCAGACCCACAGCUAAGGUCCCAAAGUAUGGUUAAGUGGAAAAGGAUGUGAGGUUGCUUAGACAACCAGGAUGUUGGCUUAGAAGCAGCCACUCAUUAAAAGAGUGCGUAAUAGCUCACUGGUCGAGUGACCCUGCGCCGAAAAUUUAACGGGGCUAAAUCAUACACCGAAGCUUGGGAUUGACAGAUAUUCUUCAUGUUUUCAAGCAGGAUAGGAAAGAGAGGAAAUCUGAUGACGCCGAAGAAUGAGACGGCAUUAAAUUUCUGUUCAAGUAAAAGCAUGAAGAUGUGAAGAAUAUCUGUCGAUGGUAGGAGAGCGUUCUAUGCGGGGAGAAGUCUGAGCGGAAGCGCAGGUGGACUGCAUAGAAGUGAGAAUGCCGGAAUGAGUAGCGCGAAAUAUGUGAGAAUCAUAUUGGCCGAAAGUCUAAGGUUUUUGGAGGAAGGUUCGUCCGCUCCAAGUAAGUCGGGAGCUAAGGCGAGGCCGAAAGGCGUAGUCGAUGCACAUACGGUAGAUAUUCCGUAACCGCCGAAGGAUUAAAGCAAAGGGACACCUGCGAAGCGUGUAACCCGGGCGAUGGUUGCCCCGGGCGAAAGGGACCGAAAUUUAGUAGGGAAGUACAUGUAGAGCAGGGCGAGAAAAGCUUUGUGUAUAUCCAAGGCGCCCGUACCGCAAACCGACACAGUAGAUAGGAAGAGAAUUCUAAGGCCAACGGGAGAAGGGUAGUUAAGGAACUCGGCAAAUUGGUCCCGUAACUUAGGGAAAAGGGACGCUCCAGAGAUGGAGCCGCAGUGAAUAGGCCCAGGCGACUGUUUAGCAAAAACACAGGUCUCUGCCAAAUCGAAAGAUGAAGUAUAGGGGCUGACACCUGCCCGGUGCUGGAAGGUUAAGAGGAGAUGUGCAAGCAUUGAAUUGAAGCCCCAGUAAACGGCGGCCGUAACUAUAACGGUCCUAAGGUAGCGAAAUUCCUUGUCGGGUAAGUUCCGACCCGCACGAAUGGUGUAACGAUCUGGGCACUGUCUCAACUACCCGCCCGGCGAAAUUGUAGUACCGGUGAAGAUGCCGGUUACCCGCGACAAGACGGAAAGACCCCAUGGAGCUUUACUGUAGCUUGAUAUUGGGUUUCGGUAAUUUAUGUACAGGAUAGGCGGGAGACAAGGAAGCCAGUACGCUAGUAUUGGUGGAGUCGCCCUUGGGAUACCGCUCUUAAGUUGCUGGAAUUCUAACCUGCGGCCGUGAAUCCGGUCGGGGGACAUUGUCAGGUGGGCAGUUUGACUGGGGCGGUCGCCUCCAAAAGAGUAACGGAGGCGCUCAAAGGUUCGCUCAGCACGGACGGAAACCGUGCUUUUGAGUGUAAACGCAGAAGCGAGCCUGACUGCGAGGGUGACGGCCCGAGCAGAAACGAAAGUUGGAGUUAGUGAUCCGGCGGUAUGUGAAUGGAAAUGCCGUCGCUCAACGGAUAAAAGCUACCCUGGGGAUAACAGGCUGAUCUCCCCCAAGAGUCCACAUCGACGGGGAGGUUUGGCACCUCGAUGUCGGCUCAUCACAUCCUGGGGCUGUAUUCGGUCCCAAGGGUUCGGCUGUUCGCCGAUUAAAGUGGUACGCGAGCUGGGUUCAGAACGUCGUGAGACAGUUCGGUCCCUAUCUGUCGUGGGCGCAGGAUAUUUGAGGAGCUCUGUCCUUAGUACGAGAGGACCGGGAUGGACGCACCGCUGGUGCACCAGUUGUCACGCCAGUGGCACAGCUGGGCAGCUAAGUGCGGAUCGGAUAAACGCUGAAAGCAUCUAAGCGUGAAGCCGGCUCCAAGAUAAGAUAUCCCAUUCCGUAAGGAAGUAAGACCCCUUGAAGACUACAAG
Molecule: ribosomal RNA, 2873 nt
Filed under: [Clostridium] leptum
Lineage: Bacteria; Bacillati; Bacillota; Clostridia; Eubacteriales; Oscillospiraceae
Description: partial 23S ribosomal RNA
Rfam family: Bacterial large subunit ribosomal RNA
Source: RNAcentral